AAGUCGUAACAAGGUUUCCGUAGGUGAACCUGCGGAAGGAUCAUUAACACGUAUCCCUGUGAACUAUCGACGUUCUCUCGCCGGUCCAUGAGGAACAGCAAUCCCUGGUAAAUCAUUGACGAACAGCGUCUGAAUCUUGGUUCUC
This 145-nucleotide unclassified non-coding RNA is filed under the name fungal sp. RNAcentral describes it as "partial internal transcribed spacer region". The stretch from base 1 to 46 matches the Rfam family "Eukaryotic small subunit ribosomal RNA", at positions 1786 to 1831 of the family's 1831-position model. The record is from RNAcentral. Lineage: Eukaryota; Fungi.